GCCCAACUAGUCCUGGUAUGCCUGGGGCUUCCCGGGUUUUAGCACUGAAAGGCCCACGUCCCGGACGAACCGGGACAGUUGGUCCCCCUCCGUGAGCAAACUUGCUCCUCCGCCCGGAGGGGAGAAGGCGGGGCCGAUGGGCCCCACCCCAGCGCGCAGGGCCUUCAGCCAUUGACCGAGAGCGGGACAGAGCACCCGGGCGAGCUCUGCCGGGCAACCCGAGCCCGAUUCUCAGCCGCUGCCCAGAGCCUCUCAGCCUCAGGCCCCUCCCUGGCACUGCCUUUCCCAGACCCGCUUCUUCCUGGAAAAUCAAGGCCAAGGCUGCCAUCUUGAGUCAGAGGAUCCACUGGGUGGGAAGCACCUGCCACCUGCACCCAGGGCUUCUCUCCGGAUGCAGGGCUUCCCCCAGGGAGGAAAAAAAGGAAAGAAAGAAGGAGGGAAGGAGAUUGAGCUGAGCUGGAGAGUGUGCCUGGCAAAACCUGAGCCCCAAGCAUUUCUGCCCUGAUUGGAUCCUUGUCACUAACCAAGCUUAUUCCAAGCUUGGGACCUUUACACCGUCCUCUGCCUGGAAUCCCCAAGAUGGAUGCACAGCUGGCUCCUUCCAAUCAUCGUUCCAGUCUCACUUCAUGCGUCACCUCAGGGAGGUGACCUGAUCACCAUCAGUAAGUGCCCACCCGUCUCAGUCCUCUCGACCUCACUCCCUGCUUCAUUUUCUUCACGGCAUUAAUCACCACCUGACAUAAUGUGCUGAUCCAUUUGUUCAUUGUUUGCUAUCCCUGCCAGAAUGGCAGCUUCUCUGGGGGCAGGGGUUUAUGUCUGUUUUGUUCACCAUGAUGUCCACAGGACCUCGGACAGUGUAGGUGCUCAAUAAGGAAUUGGUUAGAUGAAUUAAAAUAUCUCCACACUACACCUGGCGGUUCCCACGCUGAGCAUACUCCCUGCACCCACCCGGGGCUCCUAGGGACGUCACACCCUGGGGAGGUGGGUAGGAAUUUUGCCCAAACCGUGCCUGCGCAAAUCAUCAACAUGGAGGUGCUGUCGAGCUGAGAGGAGCCUCUGGUGACCUGGGGUAGGGGGCAGGCCCAUAGUCCCUCCAGAGAGGGUUGCCCUGCCUCCCCACCUCCUGGGGCCCUAAAAGUGGCAGAAAUGGAGGGGCUCUCUGAAUUCCCAGAUGCCCACCCUGGCCCUGCGGUGAACAAUUGCAUUCGUUUAUGGUUUAUCCUUCCUGUGUUUCUUUUUUGCAACGAACAGAUAUAUAUCUAUAUUCUUAUUUCUUCUUUAUUAUCAAAAGAU
Non-coding RNA from Equus caballus (horse), 1293 nucleotides. The record is from RefSeq and is a predicted model, not a curated record. NCBI's taxonomy places the organism in Eukaryota, Metazoa, Chordata, Mammalia, Perissodactyla, Equidae.